GUAAGGAAUAUUGGUCAAUGGACGGAAGUCUGAACCAGCCAUGCCGCGUGAAGGAUGAAGGUCCUCUGGAUUGUAAACUUCUUUUAUUUGGGACGAAACGCCUGUUUUCUAACGGGUCUGACGGUACCAGAUGAAUAAGCACCGGCUAACUCCGUGCCAGCAGCCGCGGUAAUACGGAGGGUGCAAGCGUUAUCCGGAUUCACUGGGUUUAAAGGGUGCGUAGGCGGGCAUGUAAGUCAGUGGUGAAAUCUCAGAGCUUAACUCUGAAACUGCCAUUGAUACUAUGUGUCUUGAAUUUUCUGGAGGUUAGCGGAAUAUGUCAUGUAGCGGUGAAAUGCUUAGAUAUGACAUAGAACACCGAUUGCGAAGGCAGCUGACUACGGAUGAAUUGACGCUGAGGCACGAAAGCGUGGGGAUCAAACAGG
This 425-nucleotide ribosomal RNA is filed under the name uncultured bacterium. Its description in RNAcentral is "bacterial SSU rRNA". It matches the Rfam family "Bacterial small subunit ribosomal RNA", at positions 354 to 776 of the family's 1533-position model. The record is from RNAcentral.